UUAGAAUGAAAUUCAAAACAGUGUGGCUGUGGCCAUUGAUUGACACAUUAAAUUCAUCCAUUGACUGGGACAGUUUAGGUGAACGUUUGUAUGUAACGACCACUGCUCACUAUGUACUUUUUAAAGACACUUAAACUAUGGGGUCACCAAAGGUUCUCAACACCUUAAUAAAGUAAUUCGAAAAAUUAAUCAGAAAUAACACGAUGUUUUGAUAUAUAUCAAUUAUAUAAAUCAAAACAUAAAGGUUAUUCCUGAUUAAUUUUUUGAAUUAUUUUAUAAUUAAAGGCGUUAAGAAACCUUUGGUGACCCCACA
RNAcentral lists this long non-coding RNA (313 nucleotides) under Mytilus galloprovincialis (Mediterranean mussel). The record is from RNAcentral. Lineage: Eukaryota; Metazoa; Mollusca; Bivalvia; Mytilida; Mytilidae.